RNAcentral lists this ribosomal RNA (113 nucleotides) under Zingiber officinale. The record is from RNAcentral. Lineage: Eukaryota; Viridiplantae; Streptophyta; Magnoliopsida; Zingiberales; Zingiberaceae.
GCGAUCAUACCAACACUAAUGCACCGGAUCCCAUCAGAAUUCCGAUGUUAAGCGUGUUUUGGCGAGAGCAGUACUAGGAUGGGUGACCCCUGAGAAGUUCUCGUGUUGCACCU